Molecule: non-coding RNA, 112 nt
Organism: Caenorhabditis elegans
Lineage: Eukaryota; Metazoa; Nematoda; Chromadorea; Rhabditida; Rhabditidae
Source: Ensembl
UUUCUCUUUUUCUCUCUCUCGAAGCUUCGGAGAUGAUCUGAUCUGCCAUCACCGUCGUUUUGCAGAGGCGCGGAACUUCUCCGUUCGAUGAUGACGACCCCCAGGUCGCUUU